UGCUGUUGUUGAGCAGUAUGGACUGCCAUCAAGGGUUCGGUCUGAUAAAGGUGGAGAGAAUGCAGAUGUAGCUGAAUUCAUGAUCAGGAGCAGAGGUACCAACAGGAACUCUCAAAUCACAGGCAGAAGUGUCCACAAUCAGUGAAUAGAGAGGAUGUGGAGAGAUGUCUACGAGCAUGCCCUAGACCGUUUCUAUCAGAUCUUCACUUCACUGGAACAUCAGGGAACACUUAAUCCAGACAAAGAAAUCCAUUUUAAUGCUUAAUCUUAAUCUUAAUCCAUCUUAAUCCAUCUUCCUUCCACUCAUACAGAGCAACCUCGACUCUUUCAGAGAUGCAUGGAACAGUCAUGGUCUUAGAACUGAACGGAAUCAAUCACCACAGCAACUCUGGAUAAGAUACAGAGACCAAGGCCCCAUGGAGGAUCCUUCAGAGGUUUCUGAAGACUAUGGGAUCAACUGGAACGGGCCUCACACUCACCAUGGAGGCACUACAUCAGUACCUGACAUUCAGCUGGGCCGUGAGCUAUCAGAUGAAGAGCUUGCUACUUUGCCAGUUUCAGGAGUUUCUUUAACAGAUGCAAUUGGAUCAUACUUGGAGACAGUCCAAAUUCUGUCAAGAACCAUAGGAGACUAAUAUACAACCCAGGCUUUUUAUUUAGCAUGCUACGACAAACAGACAUGCACUUAAAAAAAUUGCUUUCCUCACAAAAGUUUUAAAGUCCCUUUCUUUCAAGUUUUUCCCAUCAUGACAUUUGUCACAUUGAACUUUUUGAUUAACAUAAAAUUAUAAUCUUUGGUUUGUUGUAAAUGAAAAAAAGAAAGACAUGAAAGCUGGGGAUGCAGAACUGAUAACUGUAUCUCCCAUUUUCUAUCAAAAUGUAAAACUGCUGUUUAUAAACGUGUCAAACAUUAAACAUGUGUUUCAUUCCCCUUAGCUUUCUGUAUGAACCAUGGCAAAUUCUCUGCCUGAAAACUCUUAAACAAGUCCAAAA
Long non-coding RNA from Oreochromis niloticus (Nile tilapia), 993 nucleotides. RefSeq lists it as uncharacterized. NCBI's taxonomy places the organism in Eukaryota, Metazoa, Chordata, Actinopteri, Cichliformes, Cichlidae. The record is from RefSeq and is a predicted model, not a curated record. The transcript has 3 exons.